AUGAAACACUCCUACGGGAGGCAGCAGUGGGGAAUAUUGGACAAUGGGCGAAAGCCUGAUCCAGCAACGCCGCGUGAGGGAUGACUGCCUUCGGGUUGUAAACCUCUUUCAGCAGGGACGAAGCGCAAGUGACGGUACCUGCAGAAGAAGCACCGGCCAACUGCGUGCCAGCAGCCGCGGUAAUACGUAGGGUGCGAGCGUUGUCCGGAAUUAUUGGGCGUAAAGGGCUCGUAGGCGGUCUGUCACGUCGGGGGUGAAAACUCAGGGCUUAACCCUGAGCCUGCUUCCGAUACGGGCAGACUAGAGGUAUGCAGGGGAGAACGGAAUUCCUGGUGUAGCGGUGAAAUGCGCAGAUAUCAGGAGGAACACCGGUGGCGAAGGCGGUUCUCUGGGCAUUACCUGACGCUGAGGAGCGAAAGUGUGGGGAGCGAACAGGAUUAGAAACCCUUGUAGUCCGAAGUUC
RNAcentral lists this ribosomal RNA (463 nucleotides) under uncultured bacterium. RNAcentral's name for it is "bacterial SSU rRNA". It matches the Rfam family "Bacterial small subunit ribosomal RNA", at positions 328 to 803 of the family's 1533-position model. The record is from RNAcentral.